GACGAACGCUGGCGGCGUGCUUAACACAUGCAAGUCGAACGGAAAGGCCCUGCUUUUGUGGGGUGCUCGAGUGGCGAACGGGUGAGUAACACGUGAGUAACCUGCCCUUGACUUUGGGAUAACUUCAGGAAACUGGGGCUAAUACCGGAUAGGAGCUCCUGCUGCCUGGUGGGGUUUGGAAAGUUUCGGCGGUUGGAGAUGGACUCGCGGCUUAUCAGCUUGUUGGUGGGGUAGUGGCUUACCAAGGCUUUGACGGGUAGCCGGCCUGGGAGGGUGACCGGCCACAUUGGGACUGAGAUACGGCCCAGACUCCUACGGGGGGCAGCAGUGGGGAAUAUUGCACAAUGGGCGGAAGCCUGAUGCAGCAACGCCGCGUGCGGGAUGACGGCCUUCGGGUUGUAAACCGCUUUCGCCUGUGACGAAGCGUGAGUGACGGUAAUGGGUAAAGAAGCACCGGCUAACUACGUG
Molecule: ribosomal RNA, 468 nt
Filed under: uncultured bacterium
Lineage: Bacteria
Description: partial 16S ribosomal RNA
Rfam family: Bacterial small subunit ribosomal RNA
Source: RNAcentral